This 290-nucleotide long non-coding RNA is filed under the name Monodelphis domestica (gray short-tailed opossum). Its description in RNAcentral is "lncRNA (ENSMODG00000038759.1)". Lineage: Eukaryota; Metazoa; Chordata; Mammalia; Didelphimorphia; Didelphidae. The record is from RNAcentral.
CUGGGUAUCUUUUAGAAAUCUACAAAUUGUACUACAAUCAAAGCAUUGUCACAGGGGGAAAAACAUAUGCUAUGACUCUGGUUUUGAGAUUAUUAAAGAGAAAACAGUGACCUGGAGGUCAAAGACCACUGAAUAAAUUCAGGUAUAGAUAAAACCUGAGAGAAGGGAAGUUAAAGAACCGAGGAACCAACAAGAAGGGAAACCGAUUCCACAGGCAAUGCCUCCCUGGGCAGUCCAGGCAAAUUAAGAAACUAUGGUUGGAAAGACACAGUACCUCAUUAGGAAAAUGA